This 706-nucleotide ribosomal RNA is filed under the name uncultured crenarchaeote. RNAcentral describes it as "bacterial SSU rRNA". It matches the Rfam family "Archaeal small subunit ribosomal RNA", at positions 110 to 798 of the family's 1478-position model. The record is from RNAcentral. Lineage: Archaea; Thermoproteati; Thermoproteota.
UGCCCUUGGGNAGAGNNCCCCCGGGUANCUGGGGCUAAUCCCUGAUAGGUGAAGAACUCUGGAAUGAGUCUUCACCCAAAAGACGCCUAGGCCACGCUUCUAGGCGCCGCCCAAGGAUGGGGCCGCGACCGAUCAGGUUGUUGGUGAGGUAACGGCCUACCAAGCCUUUUACCGGUACGGGCCGUGAGAGCGGGAGCCCGGAGAUGGGCACUGAGACAAGGGCCCAGGUCCUACGGGGCGCAGCAGUCGCGCAAACUUUGCAAUACACGAAAGUGUGACAGGGCUAUCCCGAGUGCCGUCCGCUGAGGGUGGCUUUUACCCAGUCUAGCAAGCUGGGAGAAUAAGGAGAGGGCAAGUCUGGUGUCAGCCGCCGCGGUAAUACCAGCUCUCCGAGUGGUGUGGAUGUUUAUUGGGCCUAAAGCAUCCGUAGCUUGCUGAUCAAGUCCCCUGUUAAACCCAACGAAUCAAUCGUUGGAUUGCGGGGGAUACUGCUCGGCUAGGGGACGAGAGAGGCCGACGGUAUUUUCGGGGUAGGGGUGAAAUCCUAUAAUCCCGAGAGGACCACCAGUGGCGAAGGCUGUCGGCUAGAACGCGCCCAACGGUGANGGAUGAAAGCUGGGGGGAGCGAACCGGAAUUAAGUACCCGGGGUAGUCCCAGCUGUAAACGAUGCAGGCUAGGUGUUUGGGCGGCCACGCNCCGCUCUAU